Molecule: ribosomal RNA, 484 nt
Filed under: uncultured bacterium
Lineage: Bacteria
Description: partial 16S ribosomal RNA
Rfam family: Bacterial small subunit ribosomal RNA
Source: RNAcentral
AUUGAACGCUGGCGGCAGGCCUAACACAUGCAAGUCGAGCGGAUGAAGGGAGCUUACUCCUGGAUUCAGCGGCGGACGGGUGAGUAAUGCCUAGGAAUCUGCCUGGUAGUGGGGGAUAACGUCCGGAAACGGGCGCUAAUACCGCAUACGUCCUGAGGGAGAAAGUGGGGGAUCUUCGGACCUCACGCUAUCAGAUGAGCCUAGGUCGGAUUAGCUAGUUGGUGGGGUAAAGGCCUACCAAGGCGACGAUCCGUAACUGGUCUGAGAGGAUGAUCAGUCACACUGGAACUGAGACACGGUCCAGACUCCUACGGGAGGCAGCAGUGGGGAAUAUUGGACAAAGGGCGAAAGCCUGAUCCAGCCAUGCCGCGUGUGUGAAGAAGGUCUUAGGAUUGUAAAGCACUUUAAGUUGGGAGGAAGGGCAGUAAGUUAAUACCUUGCUGUUUUGACGUUACCAACAGAAUAAGCACCGGCUAACUUCGUG